Molecule: small nuclear RNA, 107 nt
Filed under: Ursus thibetanus thibetanus
Lineage: Eukaryota; Metazoa; Chordata; Mammalia; Carnivora; Ursidae
Source: RNAcentral
GUGCUCCCUGGGGCAGCACAUAGACUAAAAUUGGAACGAUACAGAGAAGAUUAGCAUGACCCCUGGACAAGGAUGACACACAAGUUCAUGAAGUGUUCCAUAUUUAU